CCUACGGGAGGCAGCAGUGAGGAAUAUUGGUCAAUGGGCUUACGCCUGAACCAGCCAAGUCGCGUGAGGGAAGACUGCCCUAUGGGUUGUAAACCUCUUUUGUCAGGGAGCAACUCCGGCUACGUGUAGCCGGACUGAGAGUACCUGUAGAAAAAGCAUCGGCUAACUCCGUGCCAGCAGCCGCGGUAAUACGGAGGUUGUGAGCGUUAUACGGAUUUAUUGGGGUUAAAGGGUCCGUAGGCGGAAUGCCAAGUCAGCGGUAAAAUCGCGGGGUUCAACCUCGCGCCGCCGUUGAAACUGGCGUUCUUGAGUGGGCGAGAGGUAUGCGGAAUUCGUGGUGUAGCGGUGAAAUGCGUAGAUA
RNAcentral lists this ribosomal RNA (361 nucleotides) under uncultured bacterium. Its description in RNAcentral is "partial 16S ribosomal RNA". It matches the Rfam family "Bacterial small subunit ribosomal RNA", at positions 338 to 696 of the family's 1533-position model. The record is from RNAcentral.